GACAAACGCUAGCGGCGUGUAUUAGGCAUGCAAGUCGCACGGUCACCUCGCAAGAGGUGGCAGUGGCGGACGGGUGAGUAACACGUGGGUAACCUGCCUCGCAGUGGGGAAUAACUCGCCGAAAGGCGAGCUAAUACCGCAUACCACUCUCGGUGAGAAUCCGAGCAGUAAAAGUAGCAAUGCGCUGUGAGAGGGGCCCGCGGCCGAUUAGCUUGUUGGUGGGGAACGGCCUACCAAGGCGACGAUCGGUAGCUGGUCUGAGAGGAUGGUCAGCCACACGGGGACUGAGAUACGGCCCCGACUCCUACGGGAGGCAGCAGCUAAGAAUCUUGCGCAAUGAGCGAAGGCUUGACGCAGCAACGCCGCGUGGAGGACGAAGGCCCUCGGGUCGUAAACUCCUUUUGUGAGGGAAGAAGAUCUGACGGUACCUCACGAAUAAGCCACGGCUAACUACGUGCCAGCAGCCGCU
This 469-nucleotide ribosomal RNA is filed under the name uncultured bacterium. Its description in RNAcentral is "partial 16S ribosomal RNA". It matches the Rfam family "Bacterial small subunit ribosomal RNA", at positions 28 to 519 of the family's 1533-position model. The record is from RNAcentral.